Molecule: ribosomal RNA, 119 nt
Filed under: Pteropus alecto (black flying fox)
Lineage: Eukaryota; Metazoa; Chordata; Mammalia; Chiroptera; Pteropodidae
Source: RNAcentral
GUCUAUGGCCAUGCCACCCUGAACAAGCCCGAUCCCGUCUGAUCUCGGAAGCUAAGCAGGGUCGGGCCUGGUUCGUACUUGGAUGGGAGACCACCUAGGAAGACCAGGUGCUGUAGGCG